RNAcentral lists this ribosomal RNA (460 nucleotides) under uncultured bacterium. RNAcentral's name for it is "partial 16S ribosomal RNA". It matches the Rfam family "Bacterial small subunit ribosomal RNA", at positions 338 to 795 of the family's 1533-position model. The record is from RNAcentral.
CCUACGGGUGGCAGCAGUGAGGAAUAUUGGUCAAUGGACGAGCGUCUGAACCAGCCAAGUAGCGUGAAGGAUGACUGCCCUAUGGGUUGUAAACUUCUUUUAUAUGGGAAUAAAACGUUCCACGUGUGGGUUUUUGUAUGUACCUUAUGAAUAAGGAUCGGCUAACUCCGUGCCAGCAGCCGCGGUAAUACGGAGGAUCCGAGCGUUAUCCGGAUUUAUUGGGUUUAAAGGGAGCGUAGGUGGAUUGUUAAGUCAGUUGUGAAAGUUUGCGGCUCAACCGUAAAAUUGCAGUUGAUACUGGCAGUCUUGAGUACAGGUGAGGUGGGCGGAAUUCGUGGUGUAGCGGGGAAAUGCUUAGAUAUCACGAAGAACUCCGAUUGCGAAGGCAGUUUACGAGACUGUAACUGACACUGAGGCUCGAAAGUGUGGGUAUCAAACAGGAUUAGAUACCCCUGUAGUC